AUUGAACGCUGGCGGCAGGCUUAACACAUGCAAGUCGAGCGGGGGAAGGUAGCUUGCUACCGGACCUAGCGGCGGACGGGUGAGUAAUGCUUAGGAAUCUGCCUAUUAGUGGGGGACAACAUCUCGAAAGGGAUGCUAAUACCGCAUACGUCCUACGGGAGAAAGCAGGGGAUCUUUGGACCUUGCGCUAAUAGAUGAGCCUAAGUCGGAUUAGCUAGUUGGUGGGGCAAAGGCCUACCAAGGCGACGAUCUGUAGCGGGUCUGAGAGGAUGACCCGCCACACUGGGACUGAGACACGGCCCAGACUCCUACGGGAGGCAGCAGUGGGGAAUAUUGGACAAUGGGGGGAACCCUGAUCCAGCCAUGCCGCGUGUGUGAAGAAGGCCUUAUGGUUGUAAAGCACUUUAAGCGAGGAGGAGGCUACUUUAGUUAAUACCUAGAGAUAGUGGACGUUACUCGCAGAAUAAGCACCGGCUAACUCUGUGCCAGCCGCCGCCGUAA
RNAcentral lists this ribosomal RNA (501 nucleotides) under uncultured bacterium. RNAcentral's name for it is "partial 16S ribosomal RNA". It matches the Rfam family "Bacterial small subunit ribosomal RNA", at positions 30 to 523 of the family's 1533-position model. The record is from RNAcentral.